UGGGGGAUCGUCUAGCGGUAGGACAGCGGACUCUGGAUCCGUAAGCCGUGGUUCGAAUCCACGUCCCCCAG
Molecule: transfer RNA, 71 nt
Filed under: Anaerolineae bacterium
Lineage: Bacteria; Bacillati; Chloroflexota; Anaerolineae
Description: tRNA-Gln
Rfam family: tRNA
About the family: Transfer RNA (tRNA) molecules are approximately 80 nucleotides in length.
Source: RNAcentral